This 794-nucleotide ribosomal RNA is filed under the name uncultured bacterium. Its description in RNAcentral is "bacterial SSU rRNA". It matches the Rfam family "Bacterial small subunit ribosomal RNA", at positions 8 to 796 of the family's 1533-position model. The record is from RNAcentral.
AGAGUUUGAUCAUGGCUCAGAACGAACGUUAGCGGCGNNCCUAAGACAUGCAAGUCGAGCGAGAAAGGGAUUCGUCCCCGGUAAAGCGGCGNNCGGGUGAGUAACACGUAGGUAAUCAACCCUCGGGCGGUGGAUAACUCUCCGAAAGGAGAGCUAAUACAGCAUGAAGCUAGCAAUAGCCAAAGCGGGCCUCUUCAUGAAAGCUCGCGCCGGAGGAUGAGCCUGCGGCCCAUCAGGUAGUUGGCGGAGUAACAGCCCACCAAGCCUAAGACGGGUAGCUGGUCUGAGAGGAUGAACAGCCACACUGGAACUGAGACACGGUCCAGACUCCUACGGGAGGCAGCAGUCGGGAAUCUUCCGCAAUGGGCGAAAGCCUGACGGAGCGACGCCGCGUGAGCGAUGAAGGCCUUCGGGUUGUAAAGCUCUGUGGGGAGAGAAGAAUAAGUUCAGGCGAAUACCCUGAAUGAUGACGGUAUCUCCUUAGCAAGCACCGGCUAACUCUGUGCCAGCAGCCGCGGUAAGACAGAGGGUGCAAACGUUGUUCGGAUUUACUGGGCGUAAAGCGCGUGUAGGCGGCUUGGCAAGUCGGAUGUGAAAGCCCACGGCUCAACCGUGGAAGCGCAUACGAAACUGCUUCGCUCGAGUCUCGGAGAGGAAGGUGGAAUGCUUGGUGUAGAGGUGAAAUUCGUAGAUAUCAAGCAGAACACCUGCGGCGAAGGCGGCCUUCUGGACGAUGACUGACGCUGAGACGCGAAGGCGUGGGGAGCAAACAGGAUUAGAUACCCUAGUAGUCC